ACACACCUUAUUUGUGUAUAUCUU
RNAcentral lists this microRNA (24 nucleotides) under Brassica rapa (field mustard). RNAcentral describes it as "Smi2". The record is from RNAcentral. Lineage: Eukaryota; Viridiplantae; Streptophyta; Magnoliopsida; Brassicales; Brassicaceae.